RNAcentral lists this ribosomal RNA (86 nucleotides) under Proteus mirabilis. Its description in RNAcentral is "partial 23S ribosomal RNA". The record is from RNAcentral. Lineage: Bacteria; Pseudomonadati; Pseudomonadota; Gammaproteobacteria; Enterobacterales; Morganellaceae.
GCUGGGUGUGUAAGCGUAGCGAUACGUUGAGCUAACCAGUACUAAUGAACCGUGAGGCUUAACCUGACAACACCGAAAGUGUUUUG